This 2878-nucleotide ribosomal RNA is filed under the name Ralstonia pseudosolanacearum. RNAcentral's name for it is "23S ribosomal RNA". It matches the Rfam family "Bacterial large subunit ribosomal RNA". The record is from RNAcentral. Lineage: Bacteria; Pseudomonadati; Pseudomonadota; Betaproteobacteria; Burkholderiales; Burkholderiaceae.
GGUCAAGCGAAUAAGUGCAUGUGGUGGAUGCCUUGGCGAUCACAGGCGAUGAAGGACGUAGUAGCUUGCGAAAAGCUGCGGGGAGCUGGCAAACGAGCUUUGAUCCGCAGAUGUCCGAAUGGGGAAACCCGGCCCGUAUGGGUCAUCCCUUGCUGAAUACAUAGGCAAGGGAGGCGAACGCAGUGAACUGAAACAUCUAAGUAGCUGCAGGAAAAGAAAUCAACCGAGAUUCCCAAAGUAGUGGCGAGCGAAAUGGGAACAGCCUUGUACUCUUUAGCAGUAUUGUUAGCGGAACGGAAUGGAAAGUCCGGCCAUAGUGGGUGAUAGCCCCGUACGCGAAAACAGUAUUGUGGAACUAGGUGUACGACAAGUAGGGCGGGACACGUGAAAUCCUGUCUGAAGAUGGGGGGACCAUCCUCCAAGGCUAAAUACUCGUGAUCGACCGAUAGUGAACCAGUACCGUGAGGGAAAGGCGAAAAGAACCCCGGGAGGGGAGUGAAAUAGAUCCUGAAACCGCAUGCAUACAAACAGUCGGAGCCUGGAAACGGGUGACGGCGUACCUUUUGUAUAAUGGGUCAGCGACUUACAUUCAGUGGCAAGCUUAACCGAUUAGGGAAGGCGUAGCGAAAGCGAGUCCGAAUAGGGCGUUCAGUCGCUGGGUGUAGACCCGAAACCAAGUGAUCUAUCCAUGGCCAGGUUGAAGGUGCGGUAACACGUACUGGAGGACCGAACCCACUAACGUUGAAAAGUUAGGGGAUGAGCUGUGGAUAGGGGUGAAAGGCUAAACAAACUUGGAAAUAGCUGGUUCUCUCCGAAAACUAUUUAGGUAGUGCCUCGUGUCUCACCUUCGGGGGUAGAGCACUGUCAUGGUUGGGGGGUCUAUUGCUGAUUACCCCGCCAUAGCAAACUCCGAAUACCGAAGAGUGCAAUCACGGGAGACAGACAUCGGGUGCUAACGUCCGGUGUCAAGAGGGAAACAACCCAGACCGCCAGCUAAGGUCCCUAAGAUUGGCUAAGUGGGAAACGAAGUGGGAAGGCUAAAACAGUCAGGAGGUUGGCUUAGAAGCAGCCACCCUUUAAAGAAAGCGUAAUAGCUCACUGAUCGAGUCGUCCUGCGCGAAGAUGUAACGGGGCUAAGCCAGUCACCGAAGCUGCGGAUGCACGUAAGUGCAUGGUAGGAGAGCGUUCUGUAAGCCUGUGAAGGUGUCUUGUAAAGGAUGCUGGAGGUAUCAGAAGUGCGAAUGCUGACAUGAGUAGCGAUAAAGGGGGUGAAAGGCCCCCUCGCCGUAAGCCCAAGGUUUCCUACGCAACGUUCAUCGGCGUAGGGUGAGUCGGCCCCUAAGGCGAGGCAGAGAUGCGUAGCUGAUGGGAAGCAGGUUAAUAUUCCUGCACCGUCGUAUGAUGCGAUGGGGGGACGGAUCGCGGAAGGUUGUCCGGGUGUUGGAAGUCCCGGUCCCUACAUUGGAGAUGGCACUUAGGCAAAUCCGGGUGCGUGAUUCAAGGGUGUGGGGCGAGCGACGUUAGGUCGCGAAGCAAUUGGAAGUGGUUCCAAGAAAAGCCUCUAAGCUUCAGUCAUACGAGACCGUACCGCAAACCGACACAGGUGGGCGAGAUGAGUAUUCUAAGGCGCUUGAGAGAACUCGGGAGAAGGAACUCGGCAAAUUGGUACCGUAACUUCGGGAUAAGGUACGCCCUUGUAGUUUGACUGGCUCGCGCCAGAAGGAUGAAGGGGUUGCAAUAAAAUGGUGGCUGCGACUGUUUAAUAAAAACACAGCACUCUGCAAACACGAAAGUGGACGUAUAGGGUGUGACGCCUGCCCGGUGCCGGAAGAUUAAAUGAUGGGGUGCAAGCUCUUGAUUGAAGUCCCGGUAAACGGCGGCCGUAACUAUAACGGUCCUAAGGUAGCGAAAUUCCUUGUCGGGUAAGUUCCGACCUGCACGAAUGGCGUAACGAUGGCCACACUGUCUCCUCCCGAGACUCAGCGAAGUUGAAGUGUUUGUGAUGAUGCAAUCUCCCCGCGGCUAGACGGAAAGACCCCAUGAACCUUUACUGUAGCUUUGCAUUGGACUUUGAACCGAUCUGUGUAGGAUAGGUGGGAGGCUUUGAAACCGGGACGCUAGUUUCGGUGGAGCCGACCUUGAAAUACCACCCUGGUUUGUUUGAGGUUCUAACCUUGGCCCGUGAAUCCGGGUCGGGGACAGUGCAUGGUAGGCAGUUUGACUGGGGCGGUCUCCUCCCAAAGUGUAACGGAGGAGUUCGAAGGUACGCUUGGUACGGUCGGACAUCGUACCUAAAGUGCAAUGGCAAAAGCGUGCUUAACUGCGAGACCGACAAGUCGAGCAGGUGCGAAAGCAGGACAUAGUGAUCCGGUGGUUCUGUAUGGAAGGGCCAUCGCUCAACGGAUAAAAGGUACUCUGGGGAUAACAGGCUGAUACCGCCCAAGAGUUCAUAUCGACGGCGGUGUUUGGCACCUCGAUGUCGGCUCAUCUCAUCCUGGGGCUGUAGCCGGUCCCAAGGGUAUGGCUGUUCGCCAUUUAAAGAGGUACGUGAGCUGGGUUUAAAACGUCGUGAGACAGUUUGGUCCCUAUCUGCCGUGGGCGUUGGAAUCUUGACGGGGGCUGCUCCUAGUACGAGAGGACCGGAGUGGACGUACCGCUGGUGUACCUGUUGUCUCGCCAGAGGCAUCGCAGGGUAGCUAUGUACGGAAGAGAUAACCGCUGAAAGCAUCUAAGCGGGAAACUCGCCUGAAGAUGAGGAUUCCCUGGAGACUUGAUCUCCCUGAAGGGUCGUUCGAGACCAGGACGUUGAUAGGCUGGGUGUGGAAGCGCAGUAAUGCGUUCAGCUAACCAGUACUAAUUGCCCGUGCGGCUUGAUCCU